GUGCAAACUUGAUCACUAACUCUGCAUGAUGUUGCAAAAGUGAAGGGAACCACGUUUGCUAAAGAAAUUGUGCUGAUAGAAGUGUACUUUGUUUUGUUACACUUCACAGAUACUGCAUUUUUUACAAAUAGAAGU
Molecule: small nucleolar RNA, 135 nt
Filed under: Myotis brandtii (Brandt's bat)
Lineage: Eukaryota; Metazoa; Chordata; Mammalia; Chiroptera; Vespertilionidae
Source: RNAcentral